UCCUGGCUCAGAUUGAACGCUGGCGGCAUGCCUUACACAUGCAAGUCGAACGGCAGCACGGGAGCUUGCUCCUGGUGGCGAGUGGCGAACGGGUGAGUAAUACAUCGGAACGUACCCAGGAGUGGGGGAUAACGUAGCGAAAGUUACGCUAAUACCGCAUAUUCUGUGAGCAGGAAAGCGGGGGAUCGCAAGACCUCGCGCUCUUGGAGCGGCCGAUGUCGGAUUAGCUAGUUGGUGAGGUAAAAGCUCACCAAGGCGACGAUCCGUAGCAGGUCUGAGAGGAUGAUCUGCCACACUGGGACUGAGACACGGCCCAGACUCCUACGGGAGGCAGCAGUGGGGAAUUUUGGACAAUGGGGGCAACCCUGAUCCAGCCAUGCCGCGUGAGUGAAGAAGGCCUUCGGGUUGUAAAGCUCUUUCGGCGGGGAAGAAAUGGCAACGGCUAAUAUCCGUUGUUGAUGACGGUACCCGCAUAAGAAGCACCGGCUAACUACGUGCCAGCAGCCGCGGUAAUACGUAGGGUGCGAGCGUUAAUCGGAAUUACUGGGCGUAAAGCGUGCGCAGGCGGUUUCGUAAGACAGACGUGAAAUCCCCGGGCUC
This 600-nucleotide ribosomal RNA is filed under the name uncultured Azospira sp. RNAcentral's name for it is "bacterial SSU rRNA". It matches the Rfam family "Bacterial small subunit ribosomal RNA", at positions 17 to 610 of the family's 1533-position model. Lineage: Bacteria; Pseudomonadati; Pseudomonadota; Betaproteobacteria; Rhodocyclales; Rhodocyclaceae. The record is from RNAcentral.